UACGUAGGUGGCGAGCGUUGUCCGGAAUUACUGGGUGUAAAGGGCGUGUAGGCGGGACUGUAAGUCAGAUGUGAAAUUCCAGGGCUUAACUCUGGAGCUGCAUCUGAAACUAUAGUUCUUGAGUGCUGGAGAGGAAAGCGGAAUUCCUAGUGUAGCGGUGAAAUGCGUAGAUAUUAAGGAGGAACACCAGUGGCGAAGGCGGCUUUCUGGACAGUAACUGACGCUGAGGCGCGAAAGCGUGGGGAGCAAACAGG
Molecule: ribosomal RNA, 254 nt
Filed under: uncultured bacterium
Lineage: Bacteria
Description: partial 16S ribosomal RNA
Rfam family: Bacterial small subunit ribosomal RNA
Source: RNAcentral